Molecule: ribosomal RNA, 498 nt
Filed under: uncultured bacterium
Lineage: Bacteria
Description: partial 16S ribosomal RNA
Rfam family: Bacterial small subunit ribosomal RNA
Source: RNAcentral
AUUGAACGCUGGCGGCAUGCUUUACACAUGCAAGUCGAACGGUAACAGGCCUUCGGGCGCUGACGAGUGGCGAACGGGUGAGUAAUGCAUCGGAACGUGCCCAGUCGUGGGGGAUAACGCAGCGAAAGCUGUGCUAAUACCGCAUACGAUCUAUGGAUGAAAGCGGGGGACCGUAAGGCCUCGCGCGAUUGGAGCGGCCGAUGUCAGAUUAGGUAGUUGGUGGGGUAAAGGCUCACCAAGCCAACGAUCUGUAGCUGGUCUGAGAGGACGACCAGCAACACUGGAACUGAGACACGGUCCAGACUCCUACGGGAGGCAGCAGUGGGGAAUUUUGGACAAUGGGCGCAAGCCUGAUCCAGCAAUGCCGCGUGCAGGAAGAAGGCCUUCGGGUUGUAAACUGCUUUUGUACGGAACGAAACGGCGAGCUCUAAUACAGUUUGCUAAUGACGGUACCGUAAGAAUAAGCACCGGCUAACUACGUGCCAGCCGCCGCCGUAA